UACAGAGGUCUCAAGCGUUGUUCGGAUUCAUUGGGCGUAAAGGGUGCGUAGGCGGGUCUUUAAGUCAGGGGUGAAAUCCUGGAGCUCAACUCCAGAACUGCCUUUGAUACUGAGGAUCUUGAGUUCGGGAGAGGUGAGUGGAACUGCGAGUGUAGAGGUGAAAUUCGUAGAUAUUCGCAAGAACACCAGUGGCGAAGGCGGCUCACUGGCCCGAUACUGACGCUGAGGCACGAAAGCGUGGGGGGCAAACAGG
RNAcentral lists this ribosomal RNA (253 nucleotides) under uncultured bacterium. RNAcentral's name for it is "partial 16S ribosomal RNA". It matches the Rfam family "Bacterial small subunit ribosomal RNA", at positions 524 to 776 of the family's 1533-position model. The record is from RNAcentral.